RNAcentral lists this ribosomal RNA (658 nucleotides) under Streptomyces sp. ICN441. Its description in RNAcentral is "partial 23S ribosomal RNA". It matches the Rfam family "Bacterial large subunit ribosomal RNA", at positions 1 to 596 of the family's 2925-position model. The record is from RNAcentral. Lineage: Bacteria; Bacillati; Actinomycetota; Actinomycetes; Kitasatosporales; Streptomycetaceae.
ACAGUGGACGCGAGCAUCUGUGGCCAAGUUUUUAAGGGCGCACGGUGGAUGCCUUGGCACCAGGAACCGAUGAAGGACGUGGGAGGCCGCGAUAGGCCCCGGGGAGCUGUCAACCGAGCUGUGAUCCGGGGGUGUCCGAAUGGGGAAACCCGGCAGUCGUCAUGGGCUGUCACCCGCUGCUGAACACAUAGGCAGUGUGGAGGGAACGAGGGGAAGUGAAACAUCUCAGUACCCUCAGGAAGAGAAAACAACCGUGAUUCCGGGAGUAGUGGCGAGCGAAACUGGAUGAGGCCAAACCGUAUGUGUGUGAGACCCGGCAGGGGUUGCGCAUGCGGGGUUGUGGGAUUGCUCUUUCAUCGUCUGCCGGCGAUGAGGCGAGUGAGAAACCGUUGAUGUAGGCGAAGGGCAUGCGAAAGGCCCGGCGUAGAGGGUAAGACCCCCGUAGCUGAAACGUUAGCGGCUCGUUUGAGUUAUUCCCAAGUAGCACGGGGCCCGAGAAAUCCCGUGUGAAUCUGGCGGGACCACCCGCUAAGCCUAAAUAUUCCCUGGUGACCGAUAGCGGAUAGUACCGUGAGGGAAUGGUGAAAAGUACCGCGGGAGCGGAGUGAAAUAGUACCUGAAACCGUGUGCCUACAAGCCGUGGGAGCGUCGGACGUGU